CUGAAACAGCUCUUGCAUCAUAUUCAGACAAAGAAUGGAUGUGAGAAUGCACCAGAUGGCUGAUUCAUUUGUUGCAGAAGAUGUGAUGUGAGUGAGGUGGGACCAUGAAAGAAACCAUAUUGCAAAGCACAAACACAAGGAAGGAAGAAUAUGAAGAAAACUUAAUAAUAACAUCGAAAUUUCUUGAAUCCAACCUCUGUUCCAAGUUUCUCAUUACAUGAGAUGACAGCUGCAACUCACCCUGUUAACAGUGAACCUGCGUUAUUGUCUGGGCCUGAAAUACUCAGUAAUAAGUUUACUGGCAUAUGAAAUAAAACUCUGAGAGAGAUGAUUGCAAUAUUAGAAGGGUAACUGGCCCGGUCUUGUUCUCACUGAAGGUAGUGGGAACCAAAUCAGAUAGUUCGAUGAGAAUAAAAACUCAUUGCUUCUGCCUUUAGAAAACUGUACUGUUGGACUAAGCCAUAUUCUGGAGGGCUGUUCUUUAUUGUUUUUUGAAAACAUGUUGCACUUGAUGAAGUAAUG
This is a long non-coding RNA of Gallus gallus (chicken), 522 nucleotides long. Lineage: Eukaryota; Metazoa; Chordata; Aves; Galliformes; Phasianidae. The record is from Ensembl.